RNAcentral lists this long non-coding RNA (256 nucleotides) under Physcomitrium patens. RNAcentral describes it as "long non-coding RNA (PPAT_LNC001269)". Lineage: Eukaryota; Viridiplantae; Streptophyta; Bryopsida; Funariales; Funariaceae. The record is from RNAcentral.
AUAACAUUGUUAUUAGAUAAAGGGUAAAUUCUUUGUUAUGAUCAUUUGAUAUCUAUACAAGUGUAAUUAUAGGAUUGUGUAUAAGAAUUGGAGUUAGAUGGUAUCAUGAUUUGAAAGAAAUCAUGUAAUAAAAGUUUCACUGGUGUGAUAAGUAUUGGAUUUGAUUACAAGAGUAUUUAGUAUUAUAAGAGAUUUUGAGUUGUACUACGAAGAAGUGAGUAUUACAAUCAUAAAGUGUAACGUCUAUUCUAUUAUU